UAAGCCCUAUGCGGUUCAUAUGUCCUCAAAAAUGUUGGUUAAAUUAAUUCAUAAGGUUGGUUUCAGUCCAAAUUGCUAAAUAUUUGCUGCAAUUGAUCAUUUCUUUCACCUAACAUUUAGUUUUAUUUGGAGGAGUCUUUGACCAUCCGGUAACAUGGAGUUUUUUGAAAAGCCAACACCUGGACGUAAAUGUUUGGGAGCAAUCUGUCGGGUCUCCUUCAACAAAUUAAUUAACUCAGUUGUUUUUAAUCCCUGAUAUCAAAAGACACUAAGGCACGYGACCGCACGUCUUUACGCAGCGGAGAAAUAAGCAUUCACACACAAACACACAAAAUCAGCCGCUUAAUUGCAGGUUUAAAGAAAGGCUCUGCAGCACGCGCACGCGGAGCGGGUGCUGCUCCUUUAUUUCCACCUGUUCACAGUUCCACACGCGCUUACCGCCCUUUGAUGUUGCUGUUUAUCUGCCCGCGCGCCGCCAAAAAGAGAGAGAGCGAGUGAGCUUUUACGCACGGAGCGCUCGCGCGGAGCAGCCUCACAUGACACCGCCGCAGCUAAGCUCAGAGCAGGCUCCGGCUGGCCGCCUUCAGCCGCCGCUCAAUGAAUGGAUUACCCGCACAUUCGCUUCACGUCACGGAUGAUUGUUCCCCCUCAUCAGCCGGCCGUCGCUGCGAUUCCACGGUCGCCUCGCCAGGACUUGCGGACACUACCAUGCGGCGGGGGGCGCUGGUCUGAGAGCGGCUGAAGAUUGAGUGGACGCGCGGCUGGCCGUCUGGAGAGCUCUCCGCGAAGUCAUGGUGUCCACGGCACCGUGAGAAGUUUCUCCCCGUCGCUUCGCUCCCCUCCUGUUUUUUCCUCGGUUUUAGAUGUUCAUCAGCGGCUCGUGCUUCCUCGGAAAUUUCUCCACCGUUUCCCCCGUUAAUUAUGUUCACUUUUGCUGCUUUCUGCUACAUGCUGUCUCUGGUCCUCUGUGUUUCCCUUAUCUUCUUCGCAAUAUGGCACAUAACGGCUUUUGACGAGCUCCAGGCUGACUUUAAGGUGCCGAUCGAUCAAGGCAAUCCMCUCCAUGCGAGGGAGCGACUCAGAAACAUCGAGAGGAUCUGCAACCUGCUGAGGAAGUUGGUGCUGCCAGAGUACUCCAUCCAUGGRCUGUUCUGCAUAAUGUUCCUGUGUGCCCAGGAGUGGCUGACUGUGGGCCUUAACAUCCCCCUCCUCUUCUACAACACCUGGAGCAGGUACUUCCAUUCCCCAACGGACACUAAGGAGCUGAUCUACGACCCGGCAUCUGUGAUGAACGGCGACACGCUCAAGUUCUGCCAGAAGGAGGCCUGGUGCAAGCUGUCCUUCUUCGUCCUGUCCUUCUUCUACUAUCUCUACUGUGUGUGGAACCUGGAAAUAUCCCUCUAUUAGGUCUUAUCAGUGGAAACACUUAAAGGUACAAUCCUUACUUUUUCUUAAACACUGUAUUCUGUAGGGCUUAUUUCAGGCUUUAGAGAGAAAUAAUAUUCAGAAGGGAAUUUUGACUCUGUCCUGAAGUCAGGGUUGUGGUUUUCAGAAAUGUAUGUAAAAUUUCUUUGGAUGAUAACAUUUUUGACAUAGUAGCUCUGAAGUGGUUCUUCUUGAUGAUGAAAUAAGCAAAAGUGAACCAAAAGUAUACAGUUGAAACCAAAUAUUUCCAUGCAGAAUCAGAAAAUCUAGUUCGAAUUACCAAAAUGAUUUAUAUUCAAUAAAUGCCAGAGGAGGUGUGCGACCAAAAUGGCCUGUAUGCCAAUACUGCGUGGAGGAAACUUCCAGAAAGCAAUUUGUGAAGCUUGAUGACUGACAGACGCUUUAAAUUUUGAAAAAAGCUAAAAAGAAGAAAAUUCUCCUUCUCAUUAUUCUGACAUUUAUUAAAUAGAAAUCAUCUGGUAAUGCUGACUGAAAAGAGAAAAAAAUACUUAUUGUAGUUUAAUGUCAGAACAUGUGUCUGCUUUACGGUUUGUUGUAAUUCAAUGCUUCUAAAGUCUUGAUAUUAAUCAAAUUUCAUUAAGUUAAUGAAAAUAAGGUUAAGGUGAAAGCUAUAGUGUUCCCUCCUGGCAGAAAUCUGAGAAACUGACUUCAAUAAGCUAACGUGUUGAGCUCAUUUGUUUCACAUCCAUUUCCAUACCAGUGCCGACAUUGAUCAAUAGAGCAGCUUCUGUUGAAACCAACAUAACACCCCAUCCUGCUAGCGGACGCUAAAUGAUCGAGUGCGGCAGUAUGUUAGAUAUUUCUGCAGCUAAUGUGCGAACACUCUGAGGCAACACCGUCAGCGUGAAGCCAAGUCACAGUGUGGUUGGUGUUUGUGUCGUGGCACUGGGUGUCAUCAACUAUGAAUGCAGCGCUCAGCUUGAACUGAAAUCAUCUUGCUUCUUCCAUCUCACCCCAUCGUCCUGCCCAGCUCUUGCUCACGUCGGACUGUUUUAGAGAUCAACCAAGGUGGCGGCGGCAUCAGUCAGUAUGAUCUAUUCCUUGGUUACCUCAUAACAACUGCUUUGUUAGCAUCUGGGGUCCAGCACCGAUGGCUCCAGACAUCCAGUACAGCAGGUGGCGCUGUGGUGGAAGCGAUAAUUGAACGUAAUGAUGAAGACUUAAAACUUUCUGGGUUCUUUUUUUUUUUCUUUUUGCUGCGGAGCCAAAUGAUGAACUCAGCUGGAGCUGAAGCCUCUUUUCAGCUUGGCCCAGCCCAGAACUGUUUCAUCUCUGACUGUAUAUAGAAACUUUGGACUAAACCUGCUGUUUACAGUUUGCUCAUAGCAAGAGUUAUUACACUGCCUGGCCAACGUUUGUAAUACACACGCGCGUAUAUUUAAAGGUACAUCCAGCUAGCUUGUGCUGCCAGCUGGCUGCACAGCGGCGCUAACGCUAGCCUGGAGGACGGACAGCACAGUAGCGUUUGCACAGUUUGUCUCAGGCACAGCACAAUGAAGCACUGUCCAGACCCGUCUUCACCCGUCGUAGCGCCUUGUGAGUCGAAGGACAGGCUGGCGAGCAAACGGGUCACACUGUUCGGAGAGGAGGAGCGGGCUCGAGGCGGGGCCGCGCGCUGGAGCGCCCACCCCACCGAGAACACACACAGUCCCCGGGGGGCCGUGGGAUCCUCUUUCUGACUUUCCAUCAAUGGCUUUUGUGACGUGUGCAUUUUGGUGUAUUCUUUAAUCAAAAGGAGUUUCUGUUUCCUUAACGGCAAAAGGUAUUCUACUCAGCAAAUGCCUCCUUAGUGUUGUCUUAUAGUGUUGUUCUUUUGUGGGAAAACUUCAACUAAAAAAAACCAGAAGCCGUGGAAAGCUUUUGUAGUAGAGGAGCACACGAUCUUUGCACAAAUACUCAACUCGCUCUCGCACAAAUACCGGCAAUAUCUGCCUGAGGCGGUAGGGAUGGCUUCAUGUUCCGGCUUCACAGGUGAAGGUCUUCCAACGUGUACGGCCCGAGCAGCCCGCCUCGUCUGAACGCAGGGAAACAACGUGAAUCUUUUCUAGCUCUCUCGGACCAAAAUGUUGUAUUAAAUUAUUUACGCAUAUGAAUUUAUGUCUAUUUAUGAGAUGCUGACAGUUUUAACAUUCUGCUCCAAAAGUAUCGCACAGAGUAUCAAGAAUAAAAUCAACUUUAGCAAAUAUUUCAGGGUAUAUGGAAGGUUUUUAGGAUCCCACGGAUAACUCUUCUGAUAAUCAUUCAAGUGAUUGAGAUUGGUUGGACCUCUUCGCAGGGCAGGUGUUUGAACCUGGACCUCCACGUGUAGCUUGCCCUCCGAGCCAGCAGGCCGCUCUUUAAACCUUCACCGCCGUCUUUACCUGCCAUGAGUUUCUGUGGUGGCGGAGCAGAAAGGAAUGCCCCCUUCUUCUUUUCUCUUCUUCUAACUUGAGCAUUUUAUAUCCUAAGUGUGGUAUGUAUGUGACCAAAAAGGUUGAAUUUAGAUAUUGUUUAUGAAAUAAAGUAUUUUAAAAUCUAA
RNA transcript from Poecilia reticulata (guppy), 3964 nucleotides. It is a transcript of the gene named cornichon family AMPA receptor auxiliary protein 3, with no coding region annotated. NCBI's taxonomy places the organism in Eukaryota, Metazoa, Chordata, Actinopteri, Cyprinodontiformes, Poeciliidae. The record is from RefSeq and is a predicted model, not a curated record.